Mus caroli (Ryukyu mouse) is the source of this 461-nucleotide long non-coding RNA. RefSeq lists it as uncharacterized. The record is from RefSeq and is a predicted model, not a curated record. Lineage: Eukaryota; Metazoa; Chordata; Mammalia; Rodentia; Muridae.
GCAGAGAACAGACCUGCCAGAGAGCCUUGCUAUUUUUACUUCACUGCGAGGGGAUCUCAGGUUACAAAUUAUAUACGGAUGAGACUUGAGGAGCGAGUCAUUGUGGGUAGACCUGGCUUGGCUGGACAGGAGAAAUGAGCCCAUUUACUUCCCACCAAGAACAUGAAGAGGCUUCUGACCAGCAGAAAAAACUGAGGAUUGGUGGCACUGAAUGAACACAUGUAAUGCCCUCGUCCUUGCUUUGAGAGCUUAUGCUCUCACUGUCCUUUAAUAACCAGUACCCUGAGUAACCACAGAGUCUCAUCUAGACCACUUCACCCGUGCCUGAUGCAGUCCCCUUUUUUCUGUCCAGUCCAAAGGAGCUCAAUGGGGCCCUGAACCCUAACUCUUACGGAAUACAUUUGUUAUUUGAGAAUCAAUGAAUAAGGCUACAGUAAGAUUCAAUCCUGGCCAAUAAAUAC